CAGUCGCCGCGGUAAUACGAAGGGUGCAAGCGUUAAUCGGAAUUACUGGGCGUAAAGCGUGCGUAGGCGGUGAGUUAAGUCUGCUGUGAAAUCCCCGGGCUCAACCUGGGAAUGGCAGUGGAUACUGGCUCGCUAGAGUGUGUCAGAGGAUGGUGGAAUUCCCGGUGUAGCGGUGAAAUGCGUAGAGAUCUGGAGGAAUACCUAUGGCGAAGGCAGCCAUCUGGCCUAAUACUGACGCUGAGGUACGAAAGCAUGGGGAGCAAACAGGAUUAGAUACCCGUGUAGUCCCUGUCUCUUAUAC
RNAcentral lists this ribosomal RNA (301 nucleotides) under uncultured bacterium. Its description in RNAcentral is "partial 16S ribosomal RNA". It matches the Rfam family "Bacterial small subunit ribosomal RNA", at positions 509 to 807 of the family's 1533-position model. The record is from RNAcentral.